RNAcentral lists this ribosomal RNA (221 nucleotides) under uncultured bacterium. RNAcentral describes it as "partial 16S ribosomal RNA". It matches the Rfam family "Bacterial small subunit ribosomal RNA", at positions 129 to 334 of the family's 1533-position model. The record is from RNAcentral.
CCUCCUCGAGGGGGACAACAGUUGGAAACGACUGCUAAUACCGCAUACGAUCCAAUCUCGGCAUCGAGACUGGAUGAAAGGUGGCCUCUAUUUAUAAGCUAUCACUGAAGGAGGGGAUUGCGUCUGAUUAGCUAGUUGGAGGGGUAACGGCCCACCAAGGCGAUGAUCAGUAGCCGGUCUGAGAGGAUGAACGGCCACAUUGGGACUGAGACACGGCCCAG